Trachymyrmex cornetzi is the source of this 1797-nucleotide RNA transcript. It is a transcript of the gene named sulfatase-modifying factor 1, with no coding region annotated. The transcript is spliced from 7 exons. NCBI's taxonomy places the organism in Eukaryota, Metazoa, Arthropoda, Insecta, Hymenoptera, Formicidae. The record is from RefSeq and is a predicted model, not a curated record.
CUUUUAUACAGCUGUAAAGAAUCUAUUAUAAAACUUGUGAUUUAUGACUUGUGAGUCUCGUGAUUGGAAUGAUUUAGAACAGAGUCAUGUUUUGUUAUACUAAAAUGACUGUCUUGAACUUCUAUAAAGUUCAAAUGCUAAUCGGAUACUUUUACUUGUACGUAAACGCUGUGAAGGAUAAUAAUAACUGUCAGUGCAACAAAUUGAAUCGACAAUUACUUUUUAGUCCCCGAGAAAGAUAUUGCAUUGUGAAUAAUAUUAAAUUCAAUACAAAUAGCGUAAUAGGGGAGAAAAUAAAGAAAAUGGUUAAAAUUAACGCCGGUACAUAUUUCAUAGGAACGGACAAUCCAGUUUUUGUAGGCGAUGGAGAAGGACCAAAACGCGGAGUAGUAUUAGAUAAUUUUUAUAUAGACAAAUUUGAAGUGAGUAAUAAGGAAUUUAUGACGUUUGUAAAUGCUACUGGUUAUAUUACCGAAGCAGAAAACUUUGGGGAUUCUUUUGUCUUUGAGGGCCUCUUAACACAAACUACAAAAGGCAAAGUCAAUAAAGUAGUUUCUCAAGCUCCUUGGUGGUUACUUGUGAAGCAAACCUCAUGGCAACAUCCAGAAGGUCCCAACUCGAAUAUUACUUUCAGAAUGGAACAUCCUGUUAUUCAUGUUUCCUGGAACGAUGCAGUUGCCUACUGUAAUUGGAAGGAAAUGAGAUUGCCAACUGAAGCAGAAUGGGAAGUUGCAUGUCGUGGUGAACUCUCUGAUAGACUUUAUCCUUGGGGAAAUAAACUAAUGCCAAAGAAUCAACAUAAAGCCAAUAUUUGGCAAGGAAAUUUUCCUACAGAGAAUACUGAAGAAGACGGAUACAAAGGCACAUCACCAGUUACAAUGUUUUCGCAGAAUAGGUAUGGUUUGCAUAAUAUUAUUGGAAAUGUUUGGGAAUGGACAGCGGAUUGGUGGAUAACAAAGCACUCAAGCGAUCGAUUAAUAAAUCCAAUUGGUCCUUCUAGUGGUAGUGACAAAGUGAAGAAAGGUGGCUCAUAUCUAUGUCACCAAACUUAUUGCUACAGAUACAGAUGUGCCGCGCGUAGUCAAAACACACCUGAUACAUCAGCUGGAAAUUUAGGUUUUAGAUGUGCUGUAUCAGCAUAGAUCAUCUCAUCAAAUUUUUUUUCAUACACUUUUGAAAAUUACAUCUAUCAAAUGACGGCCGCCGUUGUCUAUGCACUGAUUGAGUCGAUUUCUGAAGUUUCGCGUCACUCCCUGAAGCAUGUCCACCGGUAUUUCGGCGAUGGCAUUCCGAAUAUUUGUCUUCAGGUGAGCUAGGGUCUGUGGUCGAUCCUUGUAAACGAUAGACCUCAAAUAACCCCAUAAGAAGAAGAUUGGACUGCGAGGAGGAAUAAUGAAGCGCGCUCGAAAGGCACGUUGAGUGGCGACAAUGGAGCGGCCAUUACCAAAGUAUGCCUCUCGUCCAAAGCAUGAUCGAGACUGGCUGUGGGGGGAACAAAAAUUGAGGACCUAUCCUCUCGGACGCGCUCCCUCCCAGCUCCCUACCUUCACCCCUUGCCGUUUGGCGCGUUUUUCAAAAAAUUGAAGUGGAUCUUAGAGCUUAAGGGGUUACGCCUAGUUGGAUAAGCGGAGCUGAAGAUAUUGUGUACACCGUAACUGAUGCUGAAAAAAAGACGUUCUGGAAGAUCGGCGAUAUUUCUGUCAUUUUUUAUUAUUUUUGAAUAAAAAAAUUUGUGAAAGUAUAUUAAAACAUGCAUUUUAAGAUAGCGUUUUGUUACUUUCAAUAAAUAUUCAUUAA